Molecule: long non-coding RNA, 435 nt
Organism: Limulus polyphemus (Atlantic horseshoe crab)
Lineage: Eukaryota; Metazoa; Arthropoda; Merostomata; Xiphosura; Limulidae
Exons: 2
Source: RefSeq, a predicted model, not a curated record
ACACGUGUUGGGGCUGAAUAUAAAGGCCUAGUCGACAAGCUCUUUUCAGUGGUGCGGACGAGUUAUAUGAGAGAAGACGAAAAAGUGCUUGACUAUCUUAUUCGUUAUUCGCUGUUUUCGGUUUGAAUUAGUUCAACGUGAUUCGCUUUACAUUCGAAGCUUUCUAAUCUGACGUUUGCUUUGACUCCCAUAUAUGGUCAUAUAGAUUCAGAAUUUGUCCAAGGAAAGAGAACAGCUUCUGAGCUUUUACGUGGACACUUUUAAAUAAAACUGUAGACUUUAAAAGUUCCAGAAGUAACAGCGAACACUAUAAUUAAAGGAUCAGACGUCAACCGAUAUUGAGUUUCAAAGAAAAAUUUUCAGUCAUGUUGACCAGCAGAUGGCGCUGUAGAACGUGGCUGGCGUACGGAGUGAUGAUGAUUCUUGCUUUCUUAC